AAAUUGAAGAGUUUGAUCAUGGCUCAGAUUGAACGCUGGCGGCAGGCCUAACACAUGCAAGUCGAACGGUAACAGGAAGCAGCUUGCUGCUUCGCUGACGAGUGGCGGACGGGUGAGUAAUGUCUGGGAAACUGCCUGAUGGAGGGGGAUAACUACUGGAAACGGUGGCUAAUACCGCAUAAUGUCGCAAGACCAAAGAGGGGGACCUUCGGGCCUCUUGCCAUCAGAUGUGCCCAGAUGGGAUUA
RNAcentral lists this ribosomal RNA (246 nucleotides) under Salmonella enterica subsp. enterica serovar Minnesota. Its description in RNAcentral is "partial 16S ribosomal RNA". It matches the Rfam family "Bacterial small subunit ribosomal RNA", at positions 1 to 243 of the family's 1533-position model. The record is from RNAcentral. Lineage: Bacteria; Pseudomonadati; Pseudomonadota; Gammaproteobacteria; Enterobacterales; Enterobacteriaceae.